AUUGAACGCUGGCGGCGUGCCUAACACAUGCAAGUCGAGCGGUAACAGGUGUAGCAAUACAUGCUGACGAGCGGCGAACGGGUGAGUAAUGCUUCGGAAUCUGCCCAUGUAGUGGGGAAUAACCAGCCGAAAGGUUGGCUAAUACCGCAUACGACCUACGGGUNAAAGCAGGGGAUCGCAAGACCUUGCGCUAUUGGAUGAGCCGAAGUCGGAUUAGCAGUUGGUAGGGUAACGGCCUACCAAGGCGACGAUCCGUAGCUGGUCUGAGAGGACGACCAGCCACACUGGGACUGAGACACGGCCCAGACUCCUACGGGAGGCAGCAGUGGGGAAUAUUGGACAAUGGGGGCAACCCUGAUCCAGCGACGCCGCGUGUGUGAAGAAGGCCUGCGGG
Molecule: ribosomal RNA, 394 nt
Filed under: uncultured bacterium
Lineage: Bacteria
Description: bacterial SSU rRNA
Rfam family: Bacterial small subunit ribosomal RNA
Source: RNAcentral